GGGUUGUGAGGUUAAGCGACUAAGCGUACACGGUGGAUGCCCUGGCAGUCAGAGGCGAUGAAGGGCGUGCUAAUCUGCGAUAAGCGCCGGUAAGGUGAUAUGAACCGUUAUAACCGGCGAUACCCGAAUGGGGAAACCCAGUGUGACUCGUCACACUAUCAUUAACUGAAUCCAUAGGUUAAUGAGGCGAACCGGGGGAACUGAAACAUCUAAGUACCCCGAGGAAAAGAAAUCAACCGAGAUUCCCCCAGUAGCGGCGAGCGAACGGGGAGGAGCCCAGAGCCUGAAUCAGCAUGUGUGUUAGUGGAAGCGUCUGGAAAGACGCGCGAUACAGGGUGACAGCCCCGUACACAAAAGCGUAUGUGCUGUGAGCUCGAUGAGUAGGGCGGGACACGUGGUAUCCUGUCUGAAUAUGGGGGGACCAUCCUCCAAGGCUAAAUACUCCUGACUGACCGAUAGUGAACCAGUACCGUGAGGGAAAGGCGAAAAGAACCCCGGCGAGGGGAGUGAAAAAGAACCUGAAACCGUGUACGUACAAGCAGUGGGAGCACAGGUUUACCUGUGUGACUGCGUACCUUUUGUAUAAUGGGUCAGCGACUUAUAUUCUGUAGCAAGGUUAACCGAAUAGGGGAGCCGGAGGGAAACCGAGUCUUAAUUGGGCGUUAAGUUGCAGGGUAUAGACCCGAAACCCGGUGAUCUAGCCAUGGGCAGGUUGAAGGUUGGGUAACACUAACUGGAGGACCGAACCGACUAAUGUUGAAAAAUUAGCGGAUGACCUGUGGCUGGGGGUGAAAGGCCAAUCAAACCGGGA
Molecule: ribosomal RNA, 811 nt
Filed under: Salmonella enterica
Lineage: Bacteria; Pseudomonadati; Pseudomonadota; Gammaproteobacteria; Enterobacterales; Enterobacteriaceae
Also listed under: 1 other name
Description: partial 23S ribosomal RNA
Rfam family: Bacterial large subunit ribosomal RNA
Source: RNAcentral